GCCCUCGUAGCUUAAUGGAUAAAGUGCUGGUCUUCGGAACCAGCGAUGGGGGUUCAAUUCCCUCCGAGGGUA
Molecule: transfer RNA, 72 nt
Filed under: Minisyncoccota bacterium
Lineage: Bacteria; Bacillati; Minisyncoccota
Description: tRNA-Arg
Rfam family: tRNA
About the family: Transfer RNA (tRNA) molecules are approximately 80 nucleotides in length. Their secondary structure includes four short double-helical elements and three loops (D, anti-codon, and T loops).
Source: RNAcentral